Molecule: ribosomal RNA, 84 nt
Filed under: Rhodococcoides kroppenstedtii
Lineage: Bacteria; Bacillati; Actinomycetota; Actinomycetes; Mycobacteriales; Nocardiaceae
Also listed under: 2 other names
Source: RNAcentral
CCCAUUCCGAACCCGGAAGCUAAGCCCUCCAGCGCCGAUGGUACUGCACCCGACAGGGUGUGGGAGAGUAGGACACCGCCGAAC